CCUACGGGGGGCAGCAGUAGGGAAUAUUGCUCAAUGGGGGAAACCCUGAAGCAGCAACGCCACGUGGAGGAUGAAGGUUUUCGGAUUGUAAACUCCUUUUGUUAGAGAAGAUAAUGACGGUAUCUAACGAAUAAGCACCGGCUAACUCCGUGCCAGCAGCCGCGGUAAUACGGAGGGUGCAAGCGUUACUCGGAAUCACUGGGCGUAAGGAGCGCGUAGGCGGGAUAGCAAGUCAGAUGUGAAAUCCUAUGGCUUAACCAUAGAACUGCAUUUGAAACUGUUAUUCUAGAGUAUGGGAGAGGUAGGUGGAAUGCUUGGUGUAGGGGUAAAAUCCGUAGAGAUCAAGAGGAAUACUCAUUGCGAAGGCGACCUGCUAGAACAUAACUGACGCUGAUGCGCGAAAGCGUGGGGAGCAAACAGGAUUAGAUACCCCAGUAGUC
RNAcentral lists this ribosomal RNA (440 nucleotides) under uncultured bacterium. Its description in RNAcentral is "partial 16S ribosomal RNA". It matches the Rfam family "Bacterial small subunit ribosomal RNA", at positions 338 to 795 of the family's 1533-position model. The record is from RNAcentral.